Molecule: non-coding RNA, 1496 nt
Organism: Nicotiana tabacum (common tobacco)
Lineage: Eukaryota; Viridiplantae; Streptophyta; Magnoliopsida; Solanales; Solanaceae
Source: RefSeq, a predicted model, not a curated record
UUCAUUUCACAAAGAAAUUCACACGUCAGAUGCAUAUCUCAAAAAGAUCACACAUCUCCCUUUUGGAUUUUUCCACGGACUCAAAACAGUUUUUGGCAGAAAAAGAUUCGUCCUUUUCCUUUAUUCCCCAGGUCAUGCGCACACACAACGGACACUCACCCGUCCCCUGCAAAUGGAGUUUUGCUCCUCCUUGAUCUCUAUGAUAAAAACACGCACCCGGGAACAAGAAGGCAGAGAAAUACAGAUCUAAAAAACCAGAUCUGGGAAAAGGAGGGAGGAGCAGCCGCACAAACAAAAAGAACUUUUCUUCUCCUCCAUUUUUUCUUUACUCUGUUGUGAGCUCACUAUAGAAGCCAUAAAAACUUCUGCACCAAACUCGUGAAAAUGCAGCCAUGAAAGGCCAAUGUUCAGCUUCUUCCUUGUGCCUUAUUCGCUACCAAAAUAGCCACAAAACACCUCAAAAAAGCUUACAAACACCUAAAACAACCAGAUCUUCAUCAUCAAGCAUUUUCUCCAUAAAAAGUGGUUCAGUUUUCUCCAUUAAAACCAAGUAAACAGCCCCAAAAACCACCCUAAAACACCCGCAAAAUAGCUCGAAAAUAGCUGGAAACCAGUCAUUAAAACCUGCAAAAACGUAGCAGCUCUGACCCUGUUGAGCUUCAAAUUUUCCCGAUAGGCUUCGAGGUCGCCGCCGUUGAGGAUCGUUCGUGGUUCGGUUCGCGUUUCUGCCCAAAGUAUGAUCGUCGUGUCGAGUUCCGGUCGCAACUAUCCCUUUGUUUCCGUCCGUGUGACUGCUGGAAUUUUUAUUAAUUGAAAACAACUUCAGACUAAAAAUAGUUGAUUAGAGUUUCAAUACACAACUAGCACAUAAGGUCCAAACCUAUAUACACCGACUCGUGCUGCAUCAGGUACAGCUUCCAUUACAAGUGAUUCCAACGCAGGGACUUGCAAAGACCAGUACUUAGUUUCAGACCAUUUGUUUGAAACUAAAUAAAGUAAAGAUUUCUAGACGUUUGUAAUGAUCUAAGAAAGAGACCGUCAAAUUAGCAACAGCCUUAUCUAGACGCUCAUGAACCGUGUUAACUAGAUCAGUGCAUGAAGGACAGUGGACGGAAGAUGUCUUCUUAACACCAGUUUUAUGGCAGAUACAGCACACUGUGUCUCAUGGGUGCUAAACACAUCCCAGCACUGAGCUAACCGGUUAUGUAGAAUGGGCAUUGCAAGUUUCACCACCAAUUGAACAGGAUUGGCAUCAGCGUCAUCAAAGCUAUUUGGAUUUUCAUCUGUAGGGAGUCCAUACUUAUGAAGCAAAGUAUAGGUGGAAUGACGCAAAAUUAUAGUUCAAAGUUAAAUCUUAAAAGAGCAUGUAUAUAUGUAUAUUUUACAUAUUAGAAUCUUUUUAUAAGUCAAAAGUUCCUUACCAAGAUGGUGUUAGAGAUGUGAAAAAUUUGUAUAGAUGUGAAUAUAUGGCUCAACGACAUCUUUUCGUAUUUGAA